GACGUAGGGUCCAAGCGUUGUCCGGAUUUACUGGGCGUAAAGAGCGCGUAGGCGGCUCGUUAAGUGUGAAGUGAAAUCUCCAGGGCUCAACCCGGAAACUGCUUCGCAUACUGGCGAGCUGGAGUGACGAAGAGGUUUGUGGAAUUCCUGGUGUAGCGGUGAAAUGCGCAGAUAUCGGGAAGAACACCCGUGGCGAAGGCGGCUCUCUGGGACGGUACUGACGCUGAGACGCGAAAGCGUGGGGAGCGAACAGG
Molecule: ribosomal RNA, 254 nt
Filed under: uncultured bacterium
Lineage: Bacteria
Description: partial 16S ribosomal RNA
Rfam family: Bacterial small subunit ribosomal RNA
Source: RNAcentral